This is a non-coding RNA of Vicugna pacos (alpaca), 435 nucleotides long. NCBI's taxonomy places the organism in Eukaryota, Metazoa, Chordata, Mammalia, Artiodactyla, Camelidae. The record is from RefSeq and is a predicted model, not a curated record.
GUUACAGUGGGAGGCGCCCCCACAAGCCGCCCGGGAGCUUUGGGCAGACUGCAUGCCUCCUCUGAGCACGUUUCCCUUCCGUGACAUGAGACAAAGCCCUAGCUCACAGAUGCGGCGUGGGGGCUGAAAACAGCCAGAGCUGUAAGGGGCCUUCUUUGUAUUGAUGUUUCUUGGGAGGGACAACCUGGUUCACUGAGGUCUGCUCCACGCCAAGCUGGCCGCUAGGCAGCUUCCUGGUGGAUGUGACCAACACAGGGACACGCUCUGGCCAGUUCAAGCUUCCGAGCAGAAUUUCUCACCUGAAAAAUUCAGACUUUUUGCAAAGGUUUCUCCCACAUCUACGUGACUCUUGGAUAUCCUGCUGCCCUGCCCUGUUUUUCCUUUCACCCAUCUGCCUUGUGAAGGUGUUCUGCAUAAACCCGAGUUUAUGGUGAC